This 440-nucleotide ribosomal RNA is filed under the name uncultured bacterium. RNAcentral's name for it is "partial 16S ribosomal RNA". It matches the Rfam family "Bacterial small subunit ribosomal RNA", at positions 338 to 795 of the family's 1533-position model. The record is from RNAcentral.
CCUACGGGUGGCAGCAGUGGGGAAUAUUGCACAAUGGGGGAAACCCUGAUGCAGCGACGCCGCGUGAGUGAAGAAGUAUUUCGGUAUGUAAAGCUCUAUCAGCAGGGAAGAAAAUGACGGUACCUGACUAAGAAGCCCCUGCUAACUACGUGCCAGCAGCCGCGGUAAUACGUAGGGGGCAAGCGUUAUCCGGAUUUACUGGGGGUAAAGGGAGCGUAGACGGCAUCACAAGUCUGGAGGGAAAUGCCGGGGCUUAACCCCGGAACUGCUUGGGACACUGUGCAGCUAGAGUGCAGGAGAGGUAAGUGGAAUUCCUAGUGUAGCGGUGAAAUGCGUAGAGAUUAGGAGGAACACCAGUGGCGAAGGCGGCUUACUGGACUGUAACUGACGUUGAGGCUCGAAAGCGUGGGGAGCAAACAGGAUUAGAUACCCUAGUAGUC